GUUAACGAGGCGAACCGGGGGAACUGAAACAUCUAAGUACCCCGAGGAAAAGAAAUCAACCGAGAUUCCCCCAGUAGCGGCGAGCGAACGGGGAGCAGCCCAGAGUCUGAAUCAGCUUGUGUGUUAGUGGAACGGUCUGGAAAGUCCGACGGUACAGGGUGAUAGUCCCGUACACCAAAAUGCACAGGCUGUGAACUCGAAGAGUAGGGCGGGACACGUGGUAUCCUGUCUGAAUAUGGGGGGACCAUCCUCCAAGGCUAAAUACUCCUGACUGACCGAUAGUGAACCAGUACCGUGAGGGAAAGGCGAAAAGAACCCCGGCGAGGGGAGUGAAAAAGAACCUGAAACCGUGUACGUACAAGCAGUGGGAGCACCUUUAGGUGUGACUGCGUACCUUUUGUAUAAUGGGUCAGCGACUUAUAUUCUGUAGCAAGGUUAACCGUAUAGGGGAGCCGCAGGGAAACCGAGUCUUAACUGGGCGUUAAGUUGCAGGGUAUAGACCCGAAACCCGGUGAUCUAGCCAUGGGCAGGUUGAAGGUUGGGUAACACUAACUGGAGGACCGAACCGACUAAUGUUGAAAAAUUAGCGGAUGACUUGUGGCUGGGGGUGAAAGGCCAAUCAAACCGGGAGAUAGCUGGUUCUCCCCGAAAGCUAUUUAGGUAGCGCCUCGUGAACUCAUCUUCGGGGGUAGAGCACUGUUUCGGCUAGGGGGUCAUCCCGACUUACCAACCCGAUGCAAACUACGAAUACCGAAGAAUGUUAUCACGGGAGACACACGGCGGGUGCUAACGUCCGUCGUGAAGAGGGAAACAACCCAGACCGCCAGCUAAGGUCCCAAAGUCAUGGUUAAGUGGGAAACGAUGUGGGAAGGCACAGACAGCCAGGAUGUUGGCUUAGAAGCAGCCAUCAUUUAAAGAAAGCGUAAUAGCUCACUGGUCGAGUCGGCCUGCGCGGAAGAUGUAACGGGGCUAAACCAUGCACCGAAGCUGCGGCAGCGACACUAUGUGUUGUUGGGUAGGGGAGCGUUCUGUAAGCCUGCGAAGGUGACCUGUGAGGGUUGCUGGAGGUAUCAGAAGUGCGAAUGCUGACAUAAGUAACGAUAAAGCGGGUGAAAAGCCCGCUCGCCGGAAGACCAAGGGUUCCUGUCCAACGUUAAUCGGGGCAGGGUGAGUCGACCCCUAAGGCGAGGCCGAAAGGCGUAGUCGAUGGGAAACAGGUUAAUAUUCCUGUACUUGGUGUUACUGCGAAGGGGGGACGGAGAAGGCUAUGUUAGCCGGGCGACGGUUGUCCCGGUUUAAGCAUGUAGGCUGGUUAUCCAGGCAAAUCCGGAUAAUCAAGGCUGAGGUGUGAUGACGAGGCACUACGGUGCUGAAGUAACAAAUGCCCUGCUUCCAGGAAAAGCCUCUAAGCAUCAGGUAACAUCAAAUCGUACCCCAAACCGACACAGGUGGUCAGGUAGAGAAUACCAAGGCGCUUGAGAGAACUCGGGUGAAGGAACUAGGCAAAAUGGUGCCGUAACUUCGGGAGAAGGCACGCUGGUGUGUAGGUGAAGCCCCUGCGGGUGGAGCUGAGACCAGUCGAAGAUACCAGCUGGCUGCAACUGUUUAUUAAAAACACAGCACUGUGCAAACACGAAAGUGGACGUAUACGGUGUGACGCCUGCCCGGUGCCGGAAGGUUAAUUGAUGGGGUUAUCCGUAAGGAGAAGCUCUUGAUCGAAGCCCCGGUAAACGGCGGCCGUAACUAUAACGGUCCUAAGGUAGCGAAAUUCCUUGUCGGGUAAGUUCCGACCUGCACGAAUGGCGUAAUGAUGGCCAGGCUGUCUCCACCCGAGACUCAGUGAAAUUGAACUCGCUGUGAAGAUGCAGUGUACCCGCGGCAAGACGGAAAGACCCCGUGAACCUUUACUAUAGCUUGACACUGAACAUUGAGCCUUGAUGUGUAGGAUAGGUGGGAGGCUUUGAAGCGUGGACGCCAGUCUGCGUGGAGCCAACCUUGAAAUACCACCCUUUAAUGUUUGAUGUUCUAACGUUGGCCCCUUAUCGGGGUUGCGGACAGUGUCUGGUGGGUAGUUUGACUGGGGCGGUCUCCUCCCAAAGCGUAACGGAGGAGCACGAAGGUUAGCUAAUCCUGGUCGGACAUCAGGAGGUUAGUGCAAUGGCAUAAGCUAGCUUGACUGCGAGCGUGACGGCGCGAGCAGGUGCGAAAGCAGGUCAUAGUGAUCCGGUGGUUCUGAAUGGAAGGGCCAUCGCUCAACGGAUAAAAGGUACUCCGGGGAUAACAGGCUGAUACCGCCCAAGAGUUCAUAUCGACGGCGGUGUUUGGCACCUCGAUGUCGGCUCAUCACAUCCUGGGGCUGAAGUAGGUCCCAAGGGUAUGGCUGUUCGCCAUUUAAAGUGGUACGCGAGCUGGGUUUAGAACGUCGUGAGACAGUUCGGUCCCUAUCUGCCGUGGGCGCUGGAGAAUUGAGGGGGGCUGCUCCUAGUACGAGAGGACCGGAGUGGACGCAUCACUGGUGUUCGGGUUGUCAUGCCAAUGGCACUGCCCGGUAGCUAAAUGCGGAAGAGAUAAGUGCUGAAAGCAUCUAAGCACGAAACUUGCCCCGAGAUGAGUUCU
Molecule: ribosomal RNA, 2616 nt
Filed under: Klebsiella quasipneumoniae subsp. similipneumoniae
Lineage: Bacteria; Pseudomonadati; Pseudomonadota; Gammaproteobacteria; Enterobacterales; Enterobacteriaceae
Description: bacterial LSU rRNA
Rfam family: Bacterial large subunit ribosomal RNA
Source: RNAcentral